This 204-nucleotide long non-coding RNA is filed under the name Hordeum vulgare. RNAcentral's name for it is "long non-coding RNA (HVUL_LNC015827)". Lineage: Eukaryota; Viridiplantae; Streptophyta; Magnoliopsida; Poales; Poaceae. The record is from RNAcentral.
GCGAGAUUGCCGCCGCCGUUCGUCCUCCUCAGAACAGUGGCCACCAUCUGUUUGACGAAAUGAUCCAGGCACAAGGAAAACAAGUUGGGGGUUGAAAUUUUUUGGGGAGGUCUCUCUUUGACUCUAGAAGCCGCGUGCAAUUUAUCAGGAUUUUUUAAAAUUGUUGAGGUGGGUUUUUAACAAAAACAGGAAAUCUGGUCCAAA